RNAcentral lists this ribosomal RNA (489 nucleotides) under uncultured bacterium. RNAcentral's name for it is "bacterial SSU rRNA". It matches the Rfam family "Bacterial small subunit ribosomal RNA", at positions 8 to 542 of the family's 1533-position model. The record is from RNAcentral.
AGGGUUUGAUCCUGGCUCAGAACGUACGCUGGCGGCACGCCUAAUACAUGCAAGUCGAACGAAGUAGCAAUACUUAGUGGCAGACGGGUGAGUAACAUGUGGGUAUCUUCCCUUUGGUGAGGAAUAACACGAGGAAACUUGUGCUAAUACCUCAUAAGUCUUUACAGAGAAAGCUUUAUGCGCCAUUGGAUGAGCCUGCACUUGAUUAGUUUGUUGGUGGGGUAAUGGCCUACCAAGACAAUGAUCAAUAGCUGAUUUGAGAGGAUGAUCAGCCACAUUGGGACUGAGACACGGCCCAAACUCCUACGGGAGGCAGCAGUAGGGAAUCUUGCACAAUGGAGGAAACUCUGAUGCAGCGAUGCCGCGUGAGUGAAGAAGGCCUUUGGGUUGUAAAGCUCUUUCGUCGGGGAAGAAAAUGACUGUACCCGAAUAAGAAGGUCCGGCUAACUUCGUGCCAGCAGCCGCGGUAAUACGAAGGGACCUAGCGUA